UGCGAGUCAUGCGUCUCUAGCUAUGUUGAGACGCGGCAGACGGCUCAGUAACGCGUGGCUAACCUACCCUCAGGACGAAGAUAACCCCGGGAAACUGGGGAUAAUAUUCGAUAGGUGAGGAUGUCUGGAAUGACUUCUCUCCUAAAGGACUUAGAUACAUGCUUCUAUUUCGCCUGGGGAUGGGGCCGCGCCCGAUCAGGUUGUUGGUGAGGUAACGGCUCACCAAGCCUAUAACCGGUACGGGCCGUGAGAGCGGUAGCCCGGAGAUGGGUACUGAGACAAGGACCCAGGCCCUACGGGGCGCAGCAGUCGCGAAAACUCCGCAAUGCACGAAAGUGUGACGGGGCUACCCCGAGUGCCAUCCGCUGAGGAUGGCUUUUCUUUGGUAUAACUAGCCAUGGGAAUAAGGAGAGGGCAAGACUGGUGUCAGCCGCCGCGGUAAUACCAGCUCUCCGAGUGGUAGGGAUGAUUAUUGGGCUUAAAGCGUCCGUAGCCGGCUUAGCAAGUUUCCUGUUAAACCCAGCGACUCAAUCGUUGGAUCGCGGGAAAUACUACUAGGCUAGGAGGCGGGAGAGGUCAACGGUACUUCUGGGGUAGGGGUGAAAUCCUAUAAUCCCGGGAGGACCACCAGUGGCGAAGGCUGUUGACUAGAACGCGCUCGACGGUGAGGGACGAAAGCUGGGGGAGCGAACCGGAUUAGAUACCCGGGUAGUCCCAGCUGUAAACGAUGCGAGCUAGGUGUUGGAAUGGCUACGGGCCAUUUCAGUGCCGCAGGCAGCCAUUAAGCUCGCCGCCUGGAGAGUACGGCCGCAAGGCUGAACUUAA
RNAcentral lists this ribosomal RNA (825 nucleotides) under uncultured crenarchaeote. RNAcentral describes it as "bacterial SSU rRNA". It matches the Rfam family "Archaeal small subunit ribosomal RNA", at positions 52 to 859 of the family's 1478-position model. The record is from RNAcentral. Lineage: Archaea; Thermoproteati; Thermoproteota.